Long non-coding RNA from Oreochromis aureus, 1257 nucleotides. Lineage: Eukaryota; Metazoa; Chordata; Actinopteri; Cichliformes; Cichlidae. The record is from Ensembl.
GACGAGAAUGUCGCCUCUGCUUUUUGCAGAUGAUGUGGUUCUGUUGGUUUCAUCAGGUGGCAGCCUCCAGCUCACACUGAAGUUUUCACAGCCAAGUGUGAAUUGGAGGGAAUGAGAAUCACCGCCUCCAAUUCUGAGGCCAUGAUCAUCAGCCAGAAAAGAGCGGAGUCCCCACUCCGGGUCAGGGAUGAGUUGCCCCAAGUGAAGGGAUUGAAAUAUCUCGGGGUCUUGAUCACGAGUGAGGGGGGAGAGCAGGGGAUCGACAGACAGAUUGGUGCUGCUGUGCUGCGAUGAGAGAGCUGAGCGUAAAAGCGAAAACUCUCGAUUUACUGGUCUAUCUAUGUCCCUCCCCUCACCUAUGGUCACGAGCUUUGGGUAAUGACCAAAAGAACGAGAUUGCGGUUAUAAGCGGUUGAAAUGAGGUUUCUCCAAUGAGUGGCUGGCCUCUCGCUUAGAGCUGGGAUAAGAAGUUCGGCCAUCCAGGAGGAGCUCAGAGUAGAACCACUACUUCUCCACAUCGAAAGGAGCCAGUUGAGGUGGUUAGGGCAUCUGACAGGGAUGCCUCCUGGGUGAGGUGUCGGGUGAGGUGAGGUCUGUGCUUCUCUGCUUAGGCAGCUGCCCUGAGACCCAUCCCCAGAUAAACAGAGGAAAAUGGAUGGAUGGAUGGAUGGAUGGAUGGAUGGAUGGAUGGAUGGAUGGAUGGAUGGAUGGAUGGAUGGGCAAUAGAUAAAAAAGUAAGACAAGCUACAGAGAGUCUUAAGAAACUACACAAACUGCAAGGGCAGUGUAAUGUGCAUAUUGGUAUAUGACCUGAAUGCUAUAACACUGGGUUAUUUCACAGUGUUUGUCAGAGUGACAGCCUGGGGGAAGAAACUGUCUUCUCUGUGGCAGCUGGUUUGAGUAAGCAGUGCUGUAUAGUGCCUGCCUGUAGGUAGUAGUUUAAACUGUUUAUAUCUGGGAUGUAAGGGGUCUGCAUACAUAUUUUCUGCUCGUUUUCUAACCCUGGCUAUGUACAGGUCUUGAAUAGGGGGAAGCUCGGCACUGAUGAAACUCUCUGCUGACCUUCUUAUCCUUUGCAGUCUGGCCUGUCCUGCUUGGUGGCUGAGCCGAACCAGACAGUGAUUGAUGUGCACAGCACAGACUGGAUGAUGUGAGUGUGGAAGAUAGUAUACAUAUGGUAUAGUAUAUGUGAAUUGGUCAAUCUAACAUGUAAGUAUUAUGAAAAUAGCAUUUUGUUUAUUUUGUGACUAUCAGCGC